This 173-nucleotide small RNA is filed under the name uncultured Duncaniella sp. RNAcentral's name for it is "Bacteroidales-1 6S-Bacteroidales RNA suggested". It matches the Rfam family "Bacteroidales-1 6S-Bacteroidales RNA suggested". The record is from RNAcentral. Lineage: Bacteria; Pseudomonadati; Bacteroidota; Bacteroidia; Bacteroidales; Muribaculaceae.
ACGAUUGGGAAACUCUUCAAUUUUAUCUGAAAUACCGAGACAAGCUUAGCCGCCCGAUGGCGGGCCUCAUUCCCUUCGGGGAAGGCACCUGUGCCCGGAGGAUUACAAAGGACGGCGAGCACUCAAAUCCUGUCACUCGGAGUUUCAUCAUCCUGCUCUGAUGUGGCUUUUUU